AGUGAACGCUGGCGGCAGGCCUAACACAUGCAAGUCGAGCGGCAGCGGGUCCUUCGGGAUGCCGGCGAGCGGCGGACGGGUGAGGAAUACAUCGGAAUCUGCCCUGUCGUGGGGGAUAACCUAGGGAAACUUAGGCUAAUACCGCAUACGACCUACGGGUGAAAGCGGGGGAUCGCAAGACCUCGCGCGACAGGAUGAGCCGAUGUCCGAUUAGCUAGUUGGCGGGGUAAAGGCCCACCAAGGCGACGAUCGGUAGCUGGUCUGAGAGGAUGAUCAGCCACACUGGGACUGAGACACGGCCCAGACUCCGACGGGGGGCAGCAGUGGGGAAUAUUGGACAAUGGGCGCAAGCCUGAUCCAGCCAUGCCGCGUGGGUGAAGAAGGCCUUCGGGUUGUAAAGCCCUUUUGUCCGGGAAGAAAUCGUCUGGGCUAAUACCCCGGGCGGAUGACGGUACCGGAAGAAUAAGCACCGGCUAACUUCGUG
RNAcentral lists this ribosomal RNA (484 nucleotides) under uncultured bacterium. RNAcentral's name for it is "partial 16S ribosomal RNA". It matches the Rfam family "Bacterial small subunit ribosomal RNA", at positions 30 to 507 of the family's 1533-position model. The record is from RNAcentral.